This 609-nucleotide unclassified non-coding RNA is filed under the name Hevea brasiliensis (rubber tree). Lineage: Eukaryota; Viridiplantae; Streptophyta; Magnoliopsida; Malpighiales; Euphorbiaceae. The record is from RNAcentral.
GAAAAGAUGCCCAAACCACGUCACAAGCUAUUUCUUCAUUUACUCCACAUCAAGCAUAAUGGUGCAGUAAUCCAGGCCUAGAAAGCAUCUUGACUUUUGACCCAAAAUCCCUCGCCAUAUUUCCAGUACAGGCUAUAUUUUGUGAGGCAGUCGCCAUUUAACUCCAAAUAGAACAAAAAUAAAGUUCCCAAGAUCUCUAGAAACCCAAGAAUUAUAAUACCAACAGUCUGAUUUAUUCUAACAGAGGAACAUUUCAUAUGGAUAAAAAAUAGAAUGCUAGCAAAGAGUAGAAGCUCACUUCAAGGCACUUGAUGAAUCUUAAAGUACCAUCUGAACACCAACAUAUCACACUUAGAAUUCUCAAUUACCCUAACAAUUUUGCCUCCUAAAGAACAACAAAUCAUCUUGUAUAAACAUAUACAAUAAUUCCUAUACUUGAGACACAUCCUUGGUAAUCUUUUUAUAGUUUAGUUUGAAUUUUAGACCAAGACAUACCAACAAACCAUAGAAGAUCACUUGUCAUGGACAAAAACUGUUUCUAAGGAAGAACACCGCAAAACUAUUGACAAAAUUCUUUCCAAUCAGCUAAUUCAAAGCCAUUUGAAAGCA